Microcebus murinus (gray mouse lemur) is the source of this 1695-nucleotide non-coding RNA. The record is from RefSeq and is a predicted model, not a curated record. Lineage: Eukaryota; Metazoa; Chordata; Mammalia; Primates; Cheirogaleidae.
AACCAAAAAGAAAUCCUGGAGCUGAAAAAUUGAAUGAAUAAAAUUUCAAUACUGAGAGCUUCAACAGAUUAGAUCAAGGAGAUGAAAGAAUCUGUAGACUUGAAGACAUGUCUCUUGAAAUAGCCCAGUCAGAGGAAAAAUAAACAAUAAAAGAAGUCAAGACAGUCUACAGGAUUUAUGACAUACCAUUAAAUGAACAAAUAUUCCCAUCAUGAAUUCCAGAAAGAGACAGAGAAAGGCACAGAUGUCUUAUUUAAUGAAAUAUUUGCUGAAAGUUUCCCAAGUCUUAGGAGAGACAUGGACAUCCAGAUCCAUGAAACUCAAAAGUACCAAACAGGUUCAACACAGAGGUCUUCACCAAGGCACAUUAUAAUCAAAAUUUCAAAAGAAUUUUAAAAGCAGCAAGACAAAAGCAUCAAGCAUCAUCAUACAAGGGAAUCUCCAGUAGACUAUUAGUGGAUUGCUCAGGAGAAACCUUGCAGGCCAGGAGAGAAUGAGAUGAUAUAUUCAAAGCACUAAAAGAAAAAAGUCUACCAGAUAAGAAUGUCAUAAACAGCAAAACUGUCCUUUAGAAAUGAAGAAUAGAGUUUUUCCCAGACAAGCAAGAGCUGAGGGAAUUAAGGGAAUUCAUCACCACUAGACCUGCUUUACAAAAAAUGCUUAAGAGAGUUCUUCAAUCAGAAAUAGAAGUGCGGGGACAAAACUCCGGCGACAGGGAGUGACACAAAUAAACCCCUGGACCCUCGUUCCCCCAGCUCUAAGGGCCGCGAUGUUGUACCUAGAGGACUAUCUGGAAAUGACUGAGCAGCUUCCAAUGGACCUGCGGGACCGCUUCACCGAGAUGCGCGAGAUGGAUCUGCAGGUGCAAAAUGCAAUGGAUCAGCUGGAACAAAGAGUCAGUGAAUUCUUUAUGAAUGCAAAGAAAAAUAAACCUGAGUGGAGAGAAGAACAAAUGGCAUCCAUCAAAAAAGACUACUAUAAAGCCUUGGAAGAUGCAGAUGAGAAGGUGCAGUUGGCAAACCAGAUAUAUGACUUGCAACACCUUUAAAAGAUUGAAAUCACCAAGAAGACAGAUACAAUAUGCAAUAUUUCUCUAAUAGAUGUAAUUAUGGUGCUCUUUUUGUUUUUUUAUGUGAAGCAUCUUCUAAAAUGCGUACUUUAGGAAAUAUUCUGUUUUUGCCUUAAAGGAAGUUAAAGCAGAAAACAAAUGCUCACUUUUGGUUAACUUUAGUAUAUAGAGUUCAUUUCUUAUUUGUGCAGUCUUUCCUGGGUAUGGCUUUAUUACUGAACAAGUACAUAUAAAUAAAAUGUCAUUGGUUGAGCAGGACACAAGAUAAAAUGUAUAUGCCUCAUAUGGUAUAAAUUAUAAAUACUCAUACCAAACUAGAAAACAUUUGUCAUGUAAAGCCAUUGAAAAUGUUUAGUUGUCUUUAUAUAGUGAAAAUAUCUUAAUGACUAUAAUAACGUAGGCUCUUUAUUCUAGAAAACAUUUUGUAAAAGACACGGCCUAAAGAAAGGUAUAGUAGGCUGUAGCUUGAUUUACUGUGUAAUAAACAAAUAAGAAGUUUUUAAUUGUGUUAGUCUUGAGUUAUGUCUGUAAACGUAGAAAAAGGCAUUUAUGUUUGAAUCUAAGACAAAUUUGUUUAAUAACAUUCUUACUCCUGUUUAAUGACUAUGUAUCAGUCUUUAUUUAGA